This 473-nucleotide ribosomal RNA is filed under the name uncultured organism. Its description in RNAcentral is "partial 16S ribosomal RNA". It matches the Rfam family "Bacterial small subunit ribosomal RNA", at positions 332 to 801 of the family's 1533-position model. The record is from RNAcentral.
UACACUCCUACGGGAGGCAGCAGUGAGGAAUAUUGGACAAUGGGUGGAAGCCUGAUCCAGCCAUCCCGCGUGCAGGAAGACGGCCCUAUGGGUUGUAAACUGCUUUUAUCUGGGGAUAAACCUACUUACGUGUAAGUAGCUGAAGGUACCAGAAGAAUAAGCACCGGCUAACUCCGUGCCAGCAGCCGCGGUAAUACGGAGGGUGCAAGCGUUAUCCGGAUUUAUUGGGUUUAAAGGGUCCGUAGGCGGACUGAUAAGUCAGUGGUGAAAUCCGACAGCUUAACUGUCGAACUGCCAUUGAUACUGUUAGUCUUGAGUAAGGUUGAAGUGGCUGGAAUAAGUAGUGUAGCGGUGAAAUGCAUAGAUAUUACUUAGAACACCAAUUGCGAAGGCAGGUCACUAAGUCUUAACUGACGCUGAUGGACGAAAGCGUGGGGAGCGAACAGGAUUAGAAACCCGGGUAGUCCCAUGAU